Molecule: unclassified non-coding RNA, 1514 nt
Filed under: Daphnia pulicaria
Lineage: Eukaryota; Metazoa; Arthropoda; Branchiopoda; Diplostraca; Daphniidae
Description: uncharacterized LOC124342251, transcript variant X1
Source: RNAcentral
GGCUUUAAUUACUUGUGAAUUUAAUUACUUGCAAAAGGGAAUUACUUGUGUUGGUUAGCUAAAUUACUUGUUGCCAGUAUUACUAACCACCUUAAUUACUUAGAUGACAGAAAAUAAUUACUCAUGAAUUUUAUUAUUCAAUUCCGUAUUUACUUAAGAGAAAAAUUACUUACACCCAUAAUUAUUGAUCUUAUUUACUUAAUACCCCAAGUGCUUGUGAUAAUAAUUACUUGAUGCCCUGACUCGUGGAAAUACUUAUGUACGUAUUUUUAAAAAUAUAUUUUACUUAUGCAGUUUAUUACUUGUGCAACAUUUUAUCUAUGACAAAUAUGUAAUUAAUAGCAGUCCUAAUAAAUAUUUUUAUUUAUGGAAAAUUGUUAUAAUGCAAAAAUGUAUUACCGAGCACACGUCUUUAUGAGCUAAGUUACUAGUGCAAUUCAUUUUUAAACGGUGUUACUUAUGGGAAUCCGUCAUUGUGCUACGCACCCCAUUUUAACCUUUUUUUAAAGCUUAAGAUAGUUGUAAACAUCGCCAUUUUGGCUUUGACAAAAUUUCGUCUGCUAGAACUUGAAACACAAAUUUUCAAAAGUUUUACCUCUGUGAACGUUUCCGUCAUUCCGUUUUAGAAAGAUGGUCCUGUCAAAGUUUGAGAUAAGAAAAGCCCGAUCAAUGGUUGGAGACUCCAGGCAAGCAGUAAGAGUCAGGGUAGCUUUCGCAGCAAGCUCGACGGCCGAAAACUUCGUGACUAAGAUAGCUUGUCACCGUGAGGUACAGUCUGGCCUACUUUCAGAACACGUACAACAAGAGUAUGUCACAUGCAUACAUAUUUAACUGUAUUUUGGUACACAAUAUAUGGGCUUUUAACGGGAUUGGGGUGAUUACCAGCCAUGGGUGGGGCCCACAGCGAGAAGCACUACUAACAAUUGCAGCUGGAAUUGUUUUGAAUGAUCCUCAUCAAAACGGUAGAGGCGGUAGAGCCCUUGUUGCUCGUGCUGGAGCCCAUCCUGGUGGUGGCAUUCGUGGUCUUGGUGCUGCUGUGGGAGCCAAUGCUGCUCAAGCCCAAGGCGCAGCUGCCCACAUUGUAAAUCCUGCUGAUGGUGGCCUUGGUGCACCAGACCAUGUUGCUGCUGCAGGAGACCAGGCUGUUGGUGCACGCCCUGAAAUUCCCAUUAAUGCUGCUGAUGGUGGCCUUGGUGCACCGGACAUUGUUGCUGCUGCAGGAGACCAGGCUGUUUGGUGCCCGUCCUGAAAUUCCCAUUAAUGCUGCUGAUGGUGGCCUUGGUGCACCGGACAUUGUUGCUGCUGCAGGAGGGUGCUGAAGGUGGCCUUGGUGCUGCUGCUGAAGUCCAAGUUCCCGCUGUUGGGAGGGUCCCUGCUCCUGGUGGUGGUAGAGGCGGUCACCGUGGGAAUCUAGGAAGGGUUGUGAAUGGACGUGUUGGAAAAGGACGUGUUCGAAAAGGCCGUGGUGGUGGAGGUAGAGUUUGAGUGCACUCCUGUCGUGAAUAACCUAAUAA